This 279-nucleotide unclassified non-coding RNA is filed under the name plant metagenome. Its description in RNAcentral is "partial contains small subunit ribosomal RNA, internal transcribed spacer 1, and 5.8S ribosomal RNA". The record is from RNAcentral.
UUUCCGUAGGUGAACCUGCGGAAGGAUCAUUAACGAAUUAAAUGUGUGUGGCAUCCAAGGGCUGUCCCUCACCGAAAAGUCCUUCACGCGCGAGUGCGUCCUCUUGCCUAAUAAUCCAUCUCACCCCUUGUGGAGCACCUCGGGCGCACCUCUCGGGAUCAUCUCGGAGCUGGGCUCUCGUUGACUCAUAUACUCUCCUUUAAUCAGUGUUUAAAUACAACAUAUAUUUUGUCCAGACAACUUUCAACAACGGAUCUCUUGGCUCUCGCACCCAUCAGG